AUGAACUGGGAGGGAACUGGGAUGAACUGGGAGGGAACUGGGAUGAACUGGGAGCGCUGGUGCCUCUCACUGCAGUCCCUUACUGGUCCCACUGGUGACACUGGUCUGUCUUACUGGUGUCACUGGUGUCCCUUACUGGUGUCACUGGUCCCUCACCGGUACCACCAGUUCAUCCCAGUUCAUCCCAGUUCCCUCCCAGUUCAUCCCAGUCCAUCCCAGUCCCUCCCAGUCCAUCCCAGUUUAUCCCAGUCCCUCCCAGUUCCAUCCCAGUUUAUCCCAGUUUAUCCCAGUUUGUCCCAGUUCCCCCCCAGUCCCAUCCCAGUCCAUCCCAGUUUGUCCCAGUCUGUCCCAGUUCCAUCCCAGUGUAACUCCAGACCCUCCCAGUCCCCGCCAGUCCCCCCCAGUCCAUCCCAGUCCAUCCCAGUUUGUCCCAGUUCCCCCCCAGUUCCAUCCCAGUCCAUCCCAGUCCAUCCCAGUUUGUCCCAGUUCCCCCCCAGUCCAUCCCAGUUUAUCCCAGUUCCAUCCCAGUCCAUCCCAGUUUUCGCCCCUCCCCCCCCCGACACAAACGGGGCCGGAAAUGGAAAAAAAGAGAAUUUUAAUCACGGGGGGGGAGGGGAGGGAAAGGGGGCAGGUCCUGGCAGGGCCAUGGGAAGGUUCUGGAAGGUCCUGGCAGGGCCAUGGGGAGCUGGGACAGGUCCUGGCAGGGUCAUGAGCUGCACCCCCGGGUCCUGGCAGGGCCAUAGAAAGGUCCUGGCAGGGCCGUGGGAAGGUUCUGGAAGGUCCUGGCAGGGCCAUGAGCAGGGCCAGGGUCAUGAGCAGCGACCUCAGGUCCUGGCAGGGCCAUGGAGAAGUCCCAGCAGGUCCUGGCAGGGUCAUGGCAGAGCCCCCAGGUCCUGGUAGGGUCGUGGGCAUCACCCCCAGGUCCCAGCAGGUCCUGGCAGGGCCACAGCGAG
Molecule: long non-coding RNA, 953 nt
Filed under: Parus major (Great Tit)
Lineage: Eukaryota; Metazoa; Chordata; Aves; Passeriformes; Paridae
Description: lncRNA (ENSPMJG00000002501.1)
Source: RNAcentral